RNAcentral lists this long non-coding RNA (3003 nucleotides) under Malus domestica (apple). RNAcentral's name for it is "long non-coding RNA (MDOM_LNC005742)". Lineage: Eukaryota; Viridiplantae; Streptophyta; Magnoliopsida; Rosales; Rosaceae. The record is from RNAcentral.
UCCCAAAGAUUGUCUUAAAUGGAUUGUAUAUGUACCUAAGUAGUCUUAUCCUCACAAUCUUCCUAUUGAUAAUGUAUCAUUGGAAGAACAUGUUAGAUAAGUCUAUCAUAAAGAGAACAAUACUUUUAAUGUCAUAGUUCUUCACUUACAAAUCGUUGUAUGAAGAAAUAAGAGUUGCUUUGAACAACCCCUAGCUAAUGCAAACACUAGUGCUUGUUUCUUUGUUAAAUAAACAAAGAACCUGAGAAGAAAGCACAAGGGCAUGGACACUUUAUGUGCCAUGAUUCUUCACUUACAAAUUGUUGUAUGAAGAAAUGAGAGUUGCCUUGAACAACUCUUGAAAGUUUGUAAUUAUGUUUAGAACAUAAUGGUUGGUUGACAAAAAUAGUCCAUCAACAUGGACUUAUGAUGAUUUUGAAUCAUUGAGUGUUGAAGUGUUAAACCACUUCUAGAAACGGAAACUAGGCAAUGACUUCACCUUGGUGUCCCUAUCCAAAUGGUUCACUAAGUUUAUUGUAAACUAUAUAGUGAACGACAACCACACACUCUCCAAAUCGUUUGAUGUGUAUAACACAAUUGAAAUAAGUUUCAAGAGAGAUAGUGGGAGUUUAGGGACCAUGACUAUUGUAGUCAAAGGAGAAGUCAAAUGAAGAAAGCGAAAUAAACUCCAAGGAAAGUAAAUCAAAUGUAGAUCUCUACGAAAGCAGAUCAUACUUACUCCCUCAUAUGAACUACCAAAGAAAUUGGAAAAACUAAAGAUUGUCUUUACAUUCCAAUUUUAAGGAACUUAAUUCCGUCACUAUAAGAGAUGGAUGAAUGUUUCGUUUGACAAAACAUUGUUCUUUAUUAAUGAAUGAUUAGAUUAUUGUAAUCUAAUUGAUUGUCUCUAUAGUAGAGAUGUAUGGUAGUGUUAACUGUUUAGAAAAUAACGAUGCUUAAAACCCAAAAGGUUGCAAGGUAGUGACUAAUCCCAACUGAGUUGUGAUAUCUCUAAAACAUAAAUUACGAGUUGGUCAUAGAUGGAUGCUUUGGAUCGUUAGAUCCGGAUCCAAUACCUUCUUAUUAAAAUUGUAUAGAGGCAAAAUGUUCGAAUCUUUAUUCUUUUGGAAAGGAAGAAAGAAUCACAAAGUUGUUGAGGUUAAUUCACUUAGAUGUUAGUGGCACUUGUCCACAACAUAAUACUACUCAUGUUGUAUGACAUUCACUGAAGAUCGCUCUCGGUUGGACUAUCAUUUAUUUUGAAUAAACACAAGUCCGAAUACUUUGCAAAAGGUUUCAAAGAAUUCAAGAAAUGUAAGUUGAUGAGUAAGAUGUCUAAAGUAUUUACCUCCUUAGAUUGAUCCAAGGAAAGGUAACACUUUAGAACAGUUUCCUUGAAAGAUAUCAAGGAAAGAAGCAUCAUAUGAUAAUGGAUUUCUCCAUUAAGAGAAGAAUGAACUCGAAAUAAGAUUUAGUUCGUUGGAUGUUAUCAAUUGCCCAUAUAUAGGAUAUAUACUUCUAAGACAAUAUGAUUGUCAAUUAGAAGAUCUUCCAAAAUUUUCAUAACUCCAUAGGAUAUAGUUGGAAAGAAAGACAAAUCUUAAUCAUGUUAAUAUUUAGGGUUGUGUGCUAAUAAGCAAUAUUUGUUUAAAGAAUUAUCUUGUGGGUAUCCUUAAAUUAACAUUUGGAUAUCACUUCUAUAAACCAACUAACAAAUGUUGUUUGUUGGGUAGUUCAUUGUAAUCCUACAAUAUGAUUUGCCUAACGCAAAUGAACGAGAGAUAGAACUCAAAGAAUGGGUUCUUUGAGAGGCAAGAUGAUAAUCAACAAAUAUAACAACCUAGUUCCUACGACACAAGCUCCAAGGUAGUCGACAAGGAUUUAUAAACUGUCUCAGUUGAAUGGUUUGAACUUUAUGACUAUGUCAUAGAGUUACACCUCUUAAUUCGAAAGAAAUAAGAAUGAAAAUCCUUAUGACUACAUGAAGUGUAUAUACGACAUAUACUCAAGGAAAUGGUAAAGUACCAUUUGACCCGAAAUAAUGAAACCUUUAUAGCUAAUUGGUAGCUUAAGGUGACUACAAUUAAAGAGAUUGGUUGACUUGGAAGAAACCAUCUUUCACGUAGUCUUGGUUUCAAUUAAUUCAAAGAUUGCUAGCUACAACUAAAUGGUGAUUCAAUGUUUGGACAUAAUAUGGGUUUCCGAAACCAUUAUUAAGAUAGUCUUGAUAAUAUAUGUCUAAAACUAUGAAUCACAAGACAUGUAAGUUGUAGAGAUCCAUCCAUCAUGGAUCUUAGCAAGCUAGUGGGAGCUAUAAACGUCUUAUGAGAGAAAGAUCAAAUCGUUUGAUUUCUCAUAAAGAUGUAAAUGAAUCCUUUGUUUACUAGGUUUACAAAAGAUUAGUGGGAGUUAAUCAUGUUCCUAAAUUUGAAUAUAUAUAUACAAAUAUAUGAUAUAUUAAUUUUGGAAAUGAAAGAGAAUACUUCUUCGUUAAAGUUAUGACUUUAAACAUUCUAUAACGAUAGAAUGUAUAUGGGAGACAUAGUCUAUAAACAUGGGAUGUAAAUCUAUAAUGAUAGAUUUCAGGAUAUAAUUGGAUUAUAUCAAGCCCUAAUGAUAGACAAAAAGAUGCUAGGAAGUUUCUCAUAUGAUGAUAAACUUCAAUCAGAAGAACAACUCUAGUAAGACUAGGAGGUAGCUCUUCUCAAAGGGAACAUACCCUUUGACUCCCAAAGAAAUAAUGCGUAAAUAGAAUCCUUUAUUCAUACGCAGAAAAGUGAUUUACGUAUUUCAUAUUGUAUGUAAACAUUGAUAUGAGUUGUACCUAGAACGGUACAGACGAUAUCAGUGCAAGCCCAGGAUCAGAACCAUGGCAAAUGCCAAGUGAGUCCUUAAGUAUUUAAGAAAUACUAAAGGAUAGAUUCCUCAAAGAAUGAGGAAGAAUUAGAAUAACGUAAUGGAAGCGUAAAUGUAUUAGAUUAUGAAUCUAAUCCAUCAUUGGAUGUUUCUUCAUUAUGAAUGAAG